Molecule: ribosomal RNA, 682 nt
Filed under: Vreelandella aquamarina
Lineage: Bacteria; Pseudomonadati; Pseudomonadota; Gammaproteobacteria; Oceanospirillales; Halomonadaceae
Description: bacterial SSU rRNA
Rfam family: Bacterial small subunit ribosomal RNA
Source: RNAcentral
AAUGCAUAGGAAUCUGCCCGAUAGUGGGGGAUAACCUGGGGAAACCCAGGCUAAUACCGCAUACGUCCUACGGGAGAAAGGGGGCUCCGGCUCCCGCUAUGGGAUGAGCCUAUGUCGGAUUAGCUAGUUGGUGAGGUAACGGCUCACCAAGGCCACGAUCCGUAGCUGGUCUGAGAGGAUGAUCAGCCACAUCGGGACUGAGACACGGCCCGAACUCCUACGGGAGGCAGCAGUGGGGAAUAUUGGACAAUGGGGGAAACCCUGAUCCAGCCAUGCCGCGUGUGUGAAGAAGGCCCUCGGGUUGUAAAGCACUUUCAGCGAGGAAGAACGCCUAGCGGUUAAUACCCGCUAGGAAAGACAUCACUCGCAGAAGAAGCACCGGCUAACUCCGUGCCAGCAGCCGCGGUAAUACGGAGGGUGCAAGCGUUAAUCGGAAUUACUGGGCGUAAAGCGCGCGUAGGUGGCUUGAUAAGCCGGUUGUGAAAGCCCCGGGCUCAACCUGGGAACGGCAUCCGGAACUGUCAAGCUAGAGUGCAGGAGAGGAAGGUAGAAUUCCCGGUGUAGCGGUGACAUGCGUAGAGAUCGGGGAGGAAUACCAGUGGCGAAGGCGGCCUUCUGGACUGACACUGACACUGAGGUGCGAAAGCGUGGGGUAGCAAACAGGAUUAGAUACGCCUGGGUA